AAAGAGCAAAAGCUGCUAAAGUGCAUUUGAUUAUAAAUGCUGCUGAAAAAAUCCAACUUGUACAUUUUAAAAAUGCCUUGACUUCAAAAUUUAAGUCUAAGGACAGGCUACUUGGAAAAAAGAGUUUCUACUUAUGUUUCCACAGAAAAUGAAAAGCUAUGGAUUCCUUCCAGACUAAUAUGGUUUCAUCAAGCAAGACCCCCUUAAGCAGUGACCCAACUGAUCCUACAUCCAAAGCAGCUGAGAUGAUGCAGUCAUAGACCACUGCAGCCAGGAUUUCUGUGUUUUAUCAUGAUCUCCAUGGAUGACUGGAAUAUACGCACAGAGAAAUGUUCACAGGACUUUAUUCAUUUACAGAACUGCAAAUCUCUACCAUCAAAAUCUCACAGAAAAGAACUUUGAAAUAAUCUUCAGCCAAGCAGUCACCACCACAUACCUUUAAUCCCAGCACUCGGGAGGCAGAGGCAAGCGGAUCCCUGUGAGUUUGAGACCAGCCUGGUCUACAAGAGCUAGUUCCACGACAGGCUCCAAAGCUACACAGAGAAAUUCUGCCUUGAAAAACCAAAACCAAAAAUAAAAGAAAUAAUUUUCCACUCUGUAAAAUAUGCCUUCCUGCUACUCAGACCAAGAAACACGGGAAAUUAUCCACUGGUAACUUAGAAAAGAGAAAAUAAAUGGCAAAAAAAUUAAAACCAUUUUGAAAAGGGUAAGACACAAGGAUUGGAAAAUGAGGCAUUGAGAAAAAUAUUCCUGGGAAAUUACAA
This 764-nucleotide long non-coding RNA is filed under the name Cricetulus griseus (Chinese hamster). RNAcentral's name for it is "lncRNA (ENSCGRG00015041249.1)". The record is from RNAcentral. Lineage: Eukaryota; Metazoa; Chordata; Mammalia; Rodentia; Cricetidae.